AAGCCAAACACCCUAAAACAACUAUAUGUCUCUGUGAUGAAUUUUCUACUUGGAUCACCCAGCAGUAUACAUCCUAGACUUGUUUUCUUCUUUAUAGCAAACUUUUCUGAAUUCUGUAGGACCUAUACAAAAACAACAUACACUAAUAGAAUUGUGUACAACUGAAAAAGCUUAAUCAAAUAUGAAAGGAUAAAAGUAAAUAAAAGAAAGGGAACAGAAGGGAGCUAUAUAUCUUACAUAGCUACACCAAUGGUUCAUAACUUCUAGCAAUGGUUUCCAUACUUUUGAGCGCCUGUAUUAACAUAGCAUUUUGUACAUACUAAAAUUGCCAUCUUUCUGACAGCAAAUUUUGUUGAAUUCUAUAGCACAGAUGUUCUAGAAAACAACAUAGAAAAAUAGAAACAUGCAUGAGUGAACUCAAUCAACCAUGGAAAGUGAAAAAGAAAAAGAAAUAAUAGGAAAAUAAAGGGAGAAGGCUAAGAUAAUUUACUCUAAUAUAGCUAUACCAAAAUUUGAAAGGUAUUUUCUGGGACUUGUAAUUAUCCAGACAUAAAUAAACAUUACUUCUUUAAUAGUUAUAAUGAUCAGUUGAGCGGUCUUCUGAAGUGGCAGUGUUGAAAAAAGUAGCAUCAGAAAAUUGGUGAGGCCAUGACUCCAUACCAACAAAUCGAGUGGAUCUAGUGUGUAUUGACAAGUACGUAAGGAAGCAAACUGUAGAGUAGGUGACAAGUGUUGAUGGCUUGUAAUAAAGUGUGGAACAUCUCAUGAGUAGGCAGUGAAAUCAUAUGCCAUGAUGCUUUUGUCAACCAUCUAAGAGGAUGCAGGAUGCCCCAAUAUUGAUUUUAUAUGAGAAUAUCCAACUGCAAGACAAUCAGAAGGCCAAGAGGUUACCCUUUGACGAAGGAAUAAGAAUGUAAAGCAGACUAUAAUACCCAAAUCUACUUGUAUCAUAAGGCUUCACUAAUUCUCCAUGAAAUCUACACAAGUAGCAAAUACAGUUGUCGUACCUGCAUACGACGAUAACAUUAGAUUUGAAGGAUGGUUAGCCGAUUUUACAUGAAAACACCAUAAAAGAAAGCUAUUGAAUUUACAAACAUUUAACUUGUUUUGUUAUGUCAAAACCUAAUUAUCAAGACAUAACUAACGUUACUUCUCUAAUUGGUGACAGAAAACCAACAGAUUGAGUGGAUAAAUCUUGACAAGGAGGCUAAGUCUAGAGUUUGUGAUAAAUCUUGAUGGCAGGCAAUAAUAGUAGAUGAUCCAAAAGUAGAUACAACUCAAGAAAGAUCAUAACUACAAAGAUUAUUAACAAAUAUUGUGAAAUCUUGACAGAUAAAUCUUGACAAGUAUCUCAAUAAAGCAAAGUAUAGAGUUUGUGAUAAAUCUUGAUGGCAGGCAUUAGUAGUAGAUGAUCCAAAAGUAGAUACAACUCAAGAAAGAUCAUAACUACAAAGAUUAUUAACAAAUAUUCUGAAAUCUUGACAGAUAAAUCUUGACAGAUAAAUCUUGACAAGUAUCUCAAGAAAGUAAAGUAUAGAGUUUGUGAUAAAUCUUGAUGGCAGGCAGUAAUAGUAGAUGAUCCAAAGUAGAUACAACUCAAGAAAGAUCAUAACUACAAACAUUAUUAACAAAUAUAGUGAAAUCUUGAAAAUAAAUCUUUUUUUUUGUUUUGUUACUAGUAAAAGUAGAUGCAACUCAAGAAAGAUCAUAACUACAAACAUUAUUAACAAAUAUUGUGAAAUCUUGAAAAUAAAUCCUUUUUUUCUUUUGUUACUAGUAAAAGUAGGGCAUUAAAAUUGGGCAAAAGUAAAUGGAAUUGAUAUAUAAAGUAAAGUUAACAAGUAGUGCAGUUCUAACCCAAGAACUUCAGAAUAUGAAACUGCUUAAAACU
RNAcentral lists this long non-coding RNA (1891 nucleotides) under Solanum tuberosum (potato). RNAcentral describes it as "long non-coding RNA (STUB_LNC002331)". The record is from RNAcentral. Lineage: Eukaryota; Viridiplantae; Streptophyta; Magnoliopsida; Solanales; Solanaceae.